CAUGCAGUCGAGGGGUAACAUUGGUGCUUGCACCAGAUGACGACCGGCUCCACGGGUGCGUAACGCGUAUACAAUCUGCCUUGUACUGGGGGAUAGCCUUUAGAAAUGAAGAUUAAGACCCCAUAGUAUUAUAGAUUCGCAUGAUGAAAUAAUUAAAGGUUACGGUACAAGAUGAGUAUGCGUCCUAUUAGCUAGAUGGAGUGGUAACGGCACCCCAUGGCGACGAUAGGUAGGGGCCCUGAGAGGGGGAUCCCCCACACUGGUACUGAGACACGGACCAGACUCCUACGGGAGGCAGCAGUGAGGAAUAUUGGACAAUGGGGGCAACCCUGAUCCAGCCAUGCCGCGUGCAGGAAGACUGCCCUAUGGGUUGUAAACUGCUUUUAUACGGGAAGAAACACCGCUACGUGUAGCGGCUUGACGGUACCGUAAGAAUAAGGAUCGGCUAACUCCGUGCCAGCAGCCGCGGUAAUACGGAGGAUCCAAGCGUUAUCCGGAAUCAUUGGGUUUAAAGGGUCCGUAGGUGGGCUGGUCAGUCAGAGGUGAAAUCCCACGGCUCAACCGUGGAACUGCCUUUGAUACUGCUAGUCUUGAGUUAUUAUGAAGUAGUUAGAAUAUGUAGUGUAGCGGUGAAAUGCAUAGAUAUUACAUAGAAUACCAAUUGCGAAGGCAGAUUACUAAUAAUAUACUGACACUGAUGGACGAAAGCGUAGGUAGCGAACGGGAUUAGAUACCCCGGUAGUCUACGCCGUAAACGAUGGAUACUAGCUGUCCGGCUUCGGCUGGGUGGCUAAGCGAAAGUGAUAAGUAUCCCACCUGGGGAGUACGUUCGCAA
Molecule: ribosomal RNA, 835 nt
Filed under: uncultured Gaetbulibacter sp.
Lineage: Bacteria; Pseudomonadati; Bacteroidota; Flavobacteriia; Flavobacteriales; Flavobacteriaceae
Description: bacterial SSU rRNA
Rfam family: Bacterial small subunit ribosomal RNA
Source: RNAcentral